UCAAGUUUGACCACUCGUCUUAUUCAAAGUUUUGUACAAAAUAUCACUUUUUUUGUUGUGUAUUGGUUUAUUAAUAAAAGUUCUUCAAGAAUGACUUAAAUUUGACUAUAUUUGCACAAAUUUUUUAAAUAAGACGAGUGGUCAAACUUGG
Molecule: microRNA precursor, 151 nt
Organism: Sorghum bicolor (sorghum)
Lineage: Eukaryota; Viridiplantae; Streptophyta; Magnoliopsida; Poales; Poaceae
Rfam family: MIR812 microRNA precursor family
Source: Rfam